This 253-nucleotide ribosomal RNA is filed under the name uncultured bacterium. RNAcentral describes it as "partial 16S ribosomal RNA". It matches the Rfam family "Bacterial small subunit ribosomal RNA", at positions 524 to 776 of the family's 1533-position model. The record is from RNAcentral.
UACAGAGGGUGCGAGCGUUGUCCGGAAUCACUGGGCGUAAAGGGCGCGUAGGCGGUUUGUACAGUCAGGUGUGAAAUUCCCGGGCUCAACCUGGGGGCUGCACUUGAUACGUAUGGACUGGAGUGGGGAAGAGGGUCGUGGAAUUCCCAGUGUAGAGGUGAAAUUCGUAGAUAUUGGGAAGAACACCGGUGGCGAAGGCGGCGACCUGGUCCUUGACUGACGCUGAGGCGCGAAAGCGUGGGGAGCAAACAGG